This 85-nucleotide transfer RNA is filed under the name Chloroflexota bacterium. RNAcentral's name for it is "Chloroflexi bacterium (bioreactor metagenome) tRNA-Ser". It matches the Rfam family "tRNA". Rfam says of the family: Transfer RNA (tRNA) molecules are approximately 80 nucleotides in length. Lineage: Bacteria; Bacillati; Chloroflexota. RNAcentral also lists the same sequence under 1 other name. The record is from RNAcentral.
GGAGGAGUGCCGGAGUGGCCAAACGGCGCCGACUUGAAAUCGGAUGGCCCGAGAGGGCACGGGGGUUCGAAUCCCUCCUCCUCCG